RNAcentral lists this ribosomal RNA (465 nucleotides) under Vreelandella stevensii. Its description in RNAcentral is "partial 16S ribosomal RNA". It matches the Rfam family "Bacterial small subunit ribosomal RNA", at positions 338 to 795 of the family's 1533-position model. Lineage: Bacteria; Pseudomonadati; Pseudomonadota; Gammaproteobacteria; Oceanospirillales; Halomonadaceae. The record is from RNAcentral.
CCUACGGGGGGCAGCAGUGGGGAAUAUUGGACAAUGGGCGAAAGCCUGAUCCAGCCAUGCCGCGUGUGUGAAGAAGGCCUUCGGGUUGUAAAGCACUUUCAGUGGGGAAGAAAGCCUUGGGGCUAAUACCCUCGAGGAAGGACAUCACCCACAGAAGAAGCACCGGCUAACUCCGUGCCAGCAGCCGCGGUAAUACAGAGGGUGCGAGCGUUAAUCGGAAUUACUGGGCGUAAAGCGCGCGUAGGCGGUCUGAUAAGCCGGUUGUGAAAGCCCCGGGCUCAACCUGGGAACGGCAUCCGGAACUGUCAGGCUAGAGUGCAGGAGAGGAAGGUAGAAUUCCCGGUGUAGCGGUGAAAUGCGUAGAGAUCGGGAGGAAUACCAGUGGCGAAGGCGGCCUUCUGGACUGACACUGACGCUGAGGUGCGAAAGCGUGGGUAGCAAACAGGAUUAGAUACCCGUGUAGUC